UACAGAGGGUGCGAGCGUUAAUCGGAAUUACUGGGCGUAAAGCGCACGUAGGCGGCUUGGUAUGUCGGGUGUGAAAUCCCCGGGCUCAACCUGGGAACUGCAUCCGAAACUGCCUUGCUCGAGUAUGGGAGAGGGAAGUGGAAUUUCCGGUGUAGCGGUGAAAUGCGUAGAUAUCGGAAGGAACAUCAGUGGCGAAGGCGACUUCCUGGACCGAUACUGACGCUCAGGUGCGAAAGCGUGGGGAGCAAACAGG
This 253-nucleotide ribosomal RNA is filed under the name uncultured bacterium. RNAcentral describes it as "partial 16S ribosomal RNA". It matches the Rfam family "Bacterial small subunit ribosomal RNA", at positions 524 to 776 of the family's 1533-position model. The record is from RNAcentral.